This 664-nucleotide long non-coding RNA is filed under the name Nicotiana benthamiana. RNAcentral describes it as "long non-coding RNA (NBEN_LNC005347)". Lineage: Eukaryota; Viridiplantae; Streptophyta; Magnoliopsida; Solanales; Solanaceae. The record is from RNAcentral.
UUCUUCACGAUCCUUAUUAGGAUCUAGUACAAUAUACCUCCGGUGACAGAGUUUAUUCCUGGUUGAACCAUGUUAGAACCGCUACUUUGGUUAAUUGUAGUAUCAGGACUUGACUUCCCCUCUUGUUCCGCUUUCAUUUGAAAAUAUCUAGCCUUAACGCUAGGAUGUAUAUAUAUAUGUUUAACUAAAACUACCUGUUCCGAUACGAUCACCCGUAUACCUAUGAACAAGUUCUUUACCACAAGUUUUACAUUUAGCCCUAUCUUUAUCUCUUAGUUGGAUAAAAAAAUGCCAAACUAAUGAAGUUUUUGUACGUUUCCGAGGUUGUCUACUAAAAGUGGGAGUUUGUACGGGUGGGUGUUCUGGGUCAUUAGGAGCAGGACUAGUAGGUGUAUCAUCUAAAUCUACCGGAGGUUGGGUUUCGUUAUCAUCAUCACCCUCAUUUCCCUCUGAUAUUAGUGCAUUAGGAUAAAGCAAAUUCAUAAUAUCAUCAUCUAUUCUAUCACCGACUGCUAUAUCAUGUAGAAAAUUAACAUUGCUAAAUUGAAAACACUAUCAAGUAUUCCUAAGUUUUCAUUAGUAUUUCUAGGUUGGCUAUUAGUUUGAACUUGUUUAUCUUUUCUAGGUCGGGGAGCCGGGGGAGGGGUAGGAUUUUGGCGACNNN